RNAcentral lists this small nucleolar RNA (122 nucleotides) under Rhinopithecus bieti (black snub-nosed monkey). RNAcentral describes it as "Small nucleolar RNA SNORA72 (ENSRBIG00000005697.1)". The stretch from base 37 to 122 matches the Rfam family "Small nucleolar RNA SNORA72". From Rfam's summary of the family: U72 is a member of the H/ACA class of snoRNAs. The snoRNA gene is located in intron 4 of the ribosomal L30 protein gene in human, mouse and chicken. The record is from RNAcentral. Lineage: Eukaryota; Metazoa; Chordata; Mammalia; Primates; Cercopithecidae.
CUGCACUCCAGCCGGGGUGACAGAGCGAGACCCCGUCUCAAAAAAAAAAAAAAAAAACCAUGCAUAUAUCCCCAGAACUAGUUCUUUCCCUAGGUCUAGUUUUAUAAAUGCUGCUGAUAAAC